GAUGAACGCUGGCGGCGUGCCUAAUACAUGCAAGUCGAGCGAACAGACGAGGAGCUUGCUCCUCUGACGUUAGCGGCGGACGGGUGAGUAACACGUGGAUAACCUACCUAUAAGACUGGGAUAACUUCGGGAAACCGGAGCUAAUACCAGAUAAUAUAUUGAACCGCAUGGUUCAAUAGUGAAAGACGGUUUUGCUGUCACUUAUAGAUGGAUCCGCGCCGCAUUAGCUAGUUGGUAAGGUAACGGCUUACCAAGGCAACGAUGCGUAGCCGACCUGAGAGGGUGAUCGGCCACACUGGAACUGAGACACGGUCCAGACUCCUACGGGAGGCAGCAGUAGGGAAUCUUCCGCAAUGGGCGAAAGCCUGACGGAGCAACGCCGCGUGAGUGAUGAAGGUCUUCGGAUUGUAAAACUCUGUUAUUAGGGAAGAACAAAUGUGUAAGUAACUAUGCACGUCUUGACGGUACCUAAUCAGAAAGCCACGGCUAACUACGUG
This 497-nucleotide ribosomal RNA is filed under the name uncultured bacterium. RNAcentral's name for it is "partial 16S ribosomal RNA". It matches the Rfam family "Bacterial small subunit ribosomal RNA", at positions 28 to 507 of the family's 1533-position model. The record is from RNAcentral.